RNAcentral lists this ribosomal RNA (1460 nucleotides) under metagenome. RNAcentral's name for it is "bacterial SSU rRNA". It matches the Rfam family "Bacterial small subunit ribosomal RNA". The record is from RNAcentral.
AGAGUUUGAUCCUGGCUCAGGAUGAACGCUAGCGGUGUGCUUAAUGCAUGCAAGUCGAACGGGAUCCCAUAGAUUCGUCUUUGGUGAGAGUGGCGGACGGGUGAGUAACGCGUUGGUGACCUGCCUUGGAGAGGGGGACAACCAUUGGAAACGAUGGCUAAUACCCCGGAUGUUAUCGAGUUUAGAAGUUGAUAACUAAAGCUCCGGUGCUCCAAGAGGGGCCAGCGUCCCAUCAGCUUGUUGGUAAGGUAACGGCUUACCAAGGCUAAGGCGGGUAGGGGGCGUGAGAGCGUGACCCCCCACACUGGUACUGAAACACGGACCAGAUACCUACGGGUAGCAGCAGCAAGGAAUAUUGCGCAAUGGGCGAAAGCCUGACGCAGCAACACCGCGUGGAGGAUGAAGGCUUUCGGGUUGUAAACUCCUUUUUCUGGGGGAAGAGAAAGGACGGUACCCCAGGAAUAAGGCCCGGCUAACUACGUGCCAGCAGCCGCGGUAAAACGUAGGGGCCAAGCGUUAUCCGGAAUUACUGGGCGUAAAGCGCAUGCAGGCGGUUUUCUAAGUUGGACGUGAAAGCUCUCGGCUUAACUGGGAGAGGUCGUUCAAUACUGGAAAACUUGAGGAUGGUAGAGGAGAGUGGAAUUCCCGGUGUAGUGGUGAAAUGCGUAGAUAUCGGGAGGAACACCAGAGGCGAAGGCGGCUCUCUGGACCAUUCCUGACGCUCAGAUGCGAAAGCUAGGGGAGAGAACGGGAUUAGAAACCCCGGUAUUCCUGGCCGUAAACGAUGUCAACUAGGUGUAUGAGGUACCCAAUCCUUAUGUGCUGUAGCUAACGCAUUAAGUUGACCGCCUGGGGACUACGGCCGCAAGGCUAAAACUCAAAGGAAUUGACGGGGCCCCGCACAAGCAGCGGAGCGUGUGGUUUAAUUCGAGAUACGCGAAGAACCUUACCAGGGCUUGACAUAUAUGUGGUAGUGAUCUGAAAAGUGAACGACCCUUCGGGGAGCAUAUACAGGUGCUGCAUGGCUGUCGUAAGCUCGUGCCGUGAGGUGUUCGGUUAAGUCCGAUAACGAGCGCAACCCUCGUCGUUAGUUACAAGUGUCUAGCGAGACUGCCGGUGAUAAGCCGGAGGAAGGUGAGGAUGACGUCAAGUCAGCAUGGCCUUUAUGUCCUGGGCUACACACACGCUACAAUGGCCGGUACAGUGGGUCGCGAAGCCGCGAGGUGAAGCCAAUCCCCCAAAGCCGGUCUCAGUUCGGAUUACAGGCUGCAACUCGCCUGUAUGAAGUCGGAGUUGCUAGUAACCGCACGUCAGCACAGUGCGGUGAAUACGUUCCCGGGGCUUGUACACACCGCCCGUCACGUCAUGGAAGUUGGCAACGCCUGAAGUCGGUGGGUUAACCUAACGGAGACAGCCGCCCAAGGCGGGGUUGGUGACUGGGACGAAGUCGUAACAAGGUA